Long non-coding RNA from Camelus dromedarius (Arabian camel), 1418 nucleotides. RefSeq lists it as uncharacterized. The record is from RefSeq and is a predicted model, not a curated record. Lineage: Eukaryota; Metazoa; Chordata; Mammalia; Artiodactyla; Camelidae. The transcript is spliced from 8 exons.
UGUGGAGAUAAAUAAGAAACAGAGGGAAAAAAAUCCUUUCUAUUUCAGAAAGUUUAAGUGCUGGAACAAAAUAAAGCGGUGUAAACAGGGAGAGAACAAAGGCAGGGUGGCAGGUGUGCUGUUUUACAGAGGAGGUGGGGAGGGGUGGAUGGAUCCGGUGCAGACACCUGAGUCCGGGGAAGAGCUGGGGGAGGGGCUUCAUGGGUAGAAGGUGAGCAGGUGCGAGUCCUGAGCCCAGAGUGAGCCUGGAGGCAUGAGGGAGCAAGCAGCCGAGUCGGCUGCACAGGGAAGGUGAUAGAAAGCUCAGAGAAGAGCAGGCCCAGCCCUCACAUUUCAGGAUGGGGCUAGAGUCCAAAUGAAGGUUCCAGAUCACAUGCCUAAAAUUAAAAAGUUCUAAAUCAAGCUGCAGUCACGGCCUGGCCAGCAUCCCUACCUCACGACCUGGAGGUUGAAGGGGGCUUUUCUCUUUGGCCAGGCUUGGGGCCUCUGAGCCUGGUUGAGAGCACUGAUGAGUUGAGGCUGGGCAGAGGGGAACCUGGGGUGGUACUCAGGAUGCCUGGAUGGUCACUAGACCCAGUUGAAUCCAAGCAAGAACCUGACCUGGUCCAUCUCCGCAGAGAGCCGGAAUAGGGUAGGUUUUCCUCGCCAUGCCAAAUUUUUCUGACUUGGGAUUUCUAGGCUGCUUGAAAAGCCUUCCACUUACCUCAUCCCAGAGGAGGCAGCUCUGGUCUCUGGAGUACCUGGCGUCUUGGAUGACUUGGGAGACCUUCAGCUUUAAACACAGAUCUAUGGAUAUAAGUUAUGGAUGAGAACUGAAAUAGAGAGUAAGACUGAAAAUGAUACACACAUCAACUUUUGUAUGAAGACAAGAACAAACGAUAGACUUUUUCCCCCCCAAAGAGAACACUGUUUCACUCUGAGGAGAAAAUUUCAUUGUCAUCGUGAUCUGAUCCUGAGGGUCUUGAAUGUGGAAAUAGUACUGCAAGGAAGGCUUGUCACUCCUCCCUAAUGUAUGGAACAUGAAGGCUAGAGGCCAGAAUCAUGCUUGUUCACGAUUAUGAAGCCCUGCAGAUAAAGGAGCCACGAGAUGGAAGAAAUCUACAUUCCUGAAUCACUCCAUUAAGAGCUGCCAGAUAAAAAUCCAUAUUAAGUUAUAGAUCUACAUUGUUAGUUCAGGAACCAGAAGCAUCAGCCUCACCUGGUAACUCACUAAGAAUGAAAAUCUGAGGCCCCGUAUCAGACCUCCUGAAUUAGAAGACCUAAAAUAGGAUGUUGGCAAUCUGUGUAAGGUCCAAGAAACAGGAGAUUCUACAUCAGCAGUGCUAGACAGAUAGGGAAGUUCCUUGAAGAUCACUGAAUACUCACUGACAGUGUUUGCUUGAAAUAUGACUGGCACAGUGUUAGGAAGGCUGGCUUAA